This 134-nucleotide small nuclear RNA is filed under the name Sorex araneus (European shrew). Its description in RNAcentral is "U11 spliceosomal RNA (ENSSARG00000017257.1)". It matches the Rfam family "U11 spliceosomal RNA". Lineage: Eukaryota; Metazoa; Chordata; Mammalia; Eulipotyphla; Soricidae. The record is from RNAcentral.
AGAAAGGGCUUCUGCCAUCGGUGGCAUAUAUAGGGCAGCUCGCUUACUCUACAUGCAGAAUCGACAUCAAAAGAUUUUGGAAGCAUAAUUUUUUGACAGUAGGGCAGCUGGUGAUUUUUGGUUCUAGCACCCCC